CAGCACAUCUACCAAUAGGGAGUGAUGAAAUCUACACCAUAAAUCAGAAGAAUAUCCAUCCCAGAAAAGCUGCUGUUGGUAGGCUAUGCUGAAGGUUAUCACCAUCACUGGGUCCCCUCCAACCACUCUCUGCUUCACUCCUGGGACCAUCACUAACCAAAUCCAGGGGUGCCAGGAUCUACAGCAAGGAAGAUUUACCUGCAACAAAAGUGUGUGAUGACCCCCAAGAGAUGGGAAGGUGUGCUCCAAUUGUUUCUGGGAGAUGAUGGAGGAGGAUGGCCUCAAACUCCUUGCCAGAGGAACUCAUUUAGAUGGCACCAACCUUGACUUUCAGAUGGAGCAAUACAUCUACAAAAGGAAAAGUGAUGAUAUCUACAUCGUAAGUCUGAAGAGGACAUAGGAGAAGCUUUUGCUUUCAGACUCCAACUAUUGUUGCCAUUGAGAACCCUGCUGAUGUCAGCAUCAUCUCCUCUCUUAUCCAUGGGAACGUUAAGAGUUUCCCCAUUUUUUCAUGAUGCUGGCUUUAGGUCUGUUGGACAUAGCAUUUAUUAUGGUGAGGUUUUCUCAACAUGAAAUUUUCAUGACUCUUAUGAAUAAGUGAUUUGAGAUUUUGGCAGAAGCAAAUGGAAAAAUAGAUAAAAUUUAUUGAUUUAAAUGUGUGAGCCAUCUCAUAAUCUCUGGAAUGAAGUCAGUUUAGCUGUGAUAAGUGAUCAUUUUGAAGCACUCUUGAAUUCUUCCUGAUGCUAUUUUAUUGACAGUGUUGGCUUUUAUAUUCAUCAAAGAGACUGGUUUGUAAUUUUUUUCCUUUUUGUUGUUGUGAUCUUAGUUGAUUUUGAUAUCAGGGUAAAACUGACCAUAAAAUACUUGAAAAAAAUAUUAAUUCCUUUUAUAUUUCAUGGAAUAACUUAAGUCAUAUCAGGAUUUGUUCUUGGAAGUUCUGAUAAAAUUAUGCCUGUGAAUCUA
Molecule: non-coding RNA, 963 nt
Organism: Cricetulus griseus (Chinese hamster)
Lineage: Eukaryota; Metazoa; Chordata; Mammalia; Rodentia; Cricetidae
Source: RefSeq, a predicted model, not a curated record